RNAcentral lists this long non-coding RNA (450 nucleotides) under Lupinus angustifolius (narrow-leaved blue lupine). RNAcentral's name for it is "long non-coding RNA (LANG_LNC000822)". Lineage: Eukaryota; Viridiplantae; Streptophyta; Magnoliopsida; Fabales; Fabaceae. The record is from RNAcentral.
UCCUCUCCCUUUGUUAACUUUUUAUAUUUUGUGACCGUGUCCCUGGUAGUAGUAGGAAACUCCUUCCUUUUCUUAUAUGUGAUUUAUUCCCUUUUGUUUCACCUUCUCUCCCUUUUCAUCUUCUCUCUUUGUCUCUAAGCCUCCUUCAUUUUAUAACUACUAUCUCAAAUAAUGAAAACAUCGAGAAAGAUGAAUAGUGUGUUUCCAUGUUGUGUUAUGUUAAGAACAUGAGGAGUCCAUUUUUAAUGGGUAGUUUGGUUUGAGAUUGUCACAUUGUCUUAACUUUGCAUUUAAAACUGUAACUUGUGUUAAUUAUGCACUCUUCUCCUUUCAUGUUACAUUUUCUUUCUUUUAAUCCUCUCUUGAACUCUUUUUUUUAUGUUAGCCGCUACAAACUUUCUCUUAUGAUGGGUCUUUGUAAUAACUAUGUGUCUUGUAACUUAAACCAUA